RNAcentral lists this microRNA precursor (98 nucleotides) under Alligator mississippiensis (American alligator). RNAcentral describes it as "microRNA ami-mir-2184 precursor". Lineage: Eukaryota; Metazoa; Chordata; Crocodylia; Alligatoridae. The record is from miRBase by way of RNAcentral.
CCCGGUCCCGGCCGCCCCCAACAGUAAGAGUUUAUGUGCGGUGAGAGCUGGAAUCUGCAUGUGAACUCCUACUGCUCCGGGCGGCGGGGCACAGCGGC